RNAcentral lists this ribosomal RNA (142 nucleotides) under Candidatus Saccharibacteria bacterium RIFCSPHIGHO2_02_FULL_46_12. RNAcentral's name for it is "partial 23S ribosomal RNA". It matches the Rfam family "Bacterial large subunit ribosomal RNA", at positions 2772 to 2925 of the family's 2925-position model. The record is from RNAcentral. Lineage: Bacteria; Candidatus Saccharimonadota.
UGAAAGCAUAUUAAGCGCGAAACUAACUUCAAGAUUAGAUUUCCCUAUGAGGACACAGAAAGACUAUCUGUUUGAUAGGCGCAAGGUGGAAGUACAGUAAUGUAUGGAGCUAAAGCGUACUAAUAGUCCCAUCGCCUUUUUA